Chelonia mydas (Green sea turtle) is the source of this 262-nucleotide long non-coding RNA. RefSeq lists it as uncharacterized. The transcript has 2 exons. Lineage: Eukaryota; Metazoa; Chordata; Testudines; Cheloniidae. The record is from RefSeq and is a predicted model, not a curated record.
UUUUAAAUUGACUCCAGAAGGAUUUUUACAAAUCAGCAGCCUCACCAUCUCUGCCAUGAAACUGACUUGAGAACUUUAUUCAUAUCUGUUCAUAGAAGAAUCAAAGAAUCACAAGAAUGAUUAAAGGACUGGAAAACCUGCCUCACAGUAACAGACUCAAAGAACUCCAUCUGUUUAGCUUAUCAAAAAGAAGGGGACGGGGUGACUUGAUCUGUAAGUGUCUACAUUGGGAACAGAAAUUUGGUAGUAGAAGGCUCUUCAG